Caenorhabditis elegans is the source of this 21-nucleotide non-coding RNA. The record is from Ensembl. NCBI's taxonomy places the organism in Eukaryota, Metazoa, Nematoda, Chromadorea, Rhabditida, Rhabditidae.
UCUACGAUCGUAUUGAGGUUG